AACAUCGUCUUUUGAAUAUAUAGAAGAUAUAACCUGCCCACUGAAAAUUGAAGGGCCGCGGUAUUGUGACCGUGCAAAGGUAGCAUAAUCAUUAGUCUUCUAAUUAAAGGCUGGAAUGAAUGGUUGGACGAGGUAAAAGCUGUCUCACCCAAAAUAUUUAAAAUUUAACGUUUUAGUGAAAAGGCUAAAAUGAAGUUGGAGGACGAGAAGACCCUAUAGAGCUUAAUAAUGAAAUUAAGAUGUAAUUUAGAAAAAGUAUUAUUUUUAAUUAAUUUAUUUUGUUGGGGUGACAGGAAAAUAAAUAAACUUUUUUAUAGGGAGUACAUAAAUGAAUGGAUAU
Molecule: ribosomal RNA, 340 nt
Filed under: Ephemera japonica
Lineage: Eukaryota; Metazoa; Arthropoda; Insecta; Ephemeroptera; Ephemeridae
Description: partial 16S ribosomal RNA
Rfam family: Archaeal large subunit ribosomal RNA (bases 1-189)
Source: RNAcentral